AGUGAACGCUGGCGGUAGGCCUAACACAUGCAAGUCGAACGGCAGCACAGUAAGAGCUUGCUCUUACGGGUGGCGAGUGGCGGACGGGUGAGGAAUACAUCGGAAUCUACUUUUUCGUGGGGGAUAACGUAGGGAAACUUACGCUAAUACCGCAUACGACCUACGGGUGAAAGCAGGGGAUCUUCGGACCUUGCGCGAUUGAAUGAGCCGAUGUCGGAUUAGCUAGUUGGCGGGGUAAAGGCCCACCAAGGCGUCGAUCCGUAGCUGGUCUGAGAGGAUGAUCGGCCACACUGGAACUGAGACACGGUCCAGACUCCUACGGGAGGCAGCAGUGGGGAAUAUUGGACAAUGGGCGCAAGCCUGAUCCAGCCAUACCGCGUGGGUGAAGAAGGCCUUCGGGUUGUAAAGCCCUUUUGUUGGGAAAGAAAAGCAGCAGGUUAAUACCCCGCUGUUCUGACGGUACCCAAAGAAUAAGCACCGGCUAACUUCGUG
This 492-nucleotide ribosomal RNA is filed under the name uncultured bacterium. RNAcentral's name for it is "partial 16S ribosomal RNA". It matches the Rfam family "Bacterial small subunit ribosomal RNA", at positions 29 to 507 of the family's 1533-position model. The record is from RNAcentral.